This 184-nucleotide ribosomal RNA is filed under the name uncultured bacterium. Its description in RNAcentral is "partial 16S ribosomal RNA". It matches the Rfam family "Bacterial small subunit ribosomal RNA", at positions 1319 to 1500 of the family's 1533-position model. The record is from RNAcentral.
CAUGAAGCUGGAAUCGCUAGUAGUCGCGGAUCAGAAUGCCGCGGUGAAUACGUUCCCGGGUCUUGUACACACCGCCCGUCACACCAUGGGAGUCGGAAAUGCCCGAAGUCUGUGACCCAACCAUUAAGGAGGGAGCAGCCGAAGGCAGGUCGGAUGACUGGGGGUGAAGUCGUAACAAGGUAGC